Molecule: ribosomal RNA, 492 nt
Filed under: uncultured bacterium
Lineage: Bacteria
Description: partial 16S ribosomal RNA
Rfam family: Bacterial small subunit ribosomal RNA
Source: RNAcentral
AGUGAACGCUGGCGGUAGGCCUAACACAUGCAAGUCGAACGGCAGCACAGUAAGAGCUUGCUCUUACGGGUGGCGAGUGGCGGACGGGUGAGGAAUACAUCGGAAUCUACUUUUUCGUGGGGGAUAACGUAGGGAAACUUACGCUAAUACCGCAUACGACCUACGGGUGAAAGCAGUGGAUCUUCGGACCUUGCGCGAUUGAAUGAGCCGAUGUCGGAUUAGCUAGUUGGCGGGGUAAAGGCCCACCAAGGCGACGAUCCGUAGCUGGUCUGAGAGGAUGAUCAGCCACACUGGAACUGAGACACGGUCCAGACUCCUGCGGGAGGCAGCAGUGGGGAAUAUUGGACAAUGGGCGCAAGCCUGAUCCAGCCAUACCGCGUGGGUGAAGAAGGCCUUCGGGUUGUAAAGCCCUUUUGUUGGGAAAGAAAAGCAGCAGGUUAAUACCCCGCUGUUCUGACGGUACCCAAAGAAUAAGCACCGGCUAACUUCGUG